This 330-nucleotide ribosomal RNA is filed under the name uncultured bacterium. RNAcentral describes it as "bacterial SSU rRNA". It matches the Rfam family "Bacterial small subunit ribosomal RNA", at positions 568 to 898 of the family's 1533-position model. The record is from RNAcentral.
UGCGUAGGCGGUCCUGUAAGUAUGGUGUGAAAUCUCCCGGCUUAACUGGGAGGGUGCGCUAUAGACUGCGGGACUCGAGUGUGGGAGAGGAAAGUGGAAUUCCUGGUGUAGCGGUGAAAUGCGUAGAUAUCAGGAGGAACACCGGUGGUGUAAACGGCUUUCUGGACCAUAACUGACGCUGAGGCACGAAAGCGUGGGUAGCAAACAGGAUUAGAUACCCUGGUAGUCCACGCCCUAAACGAUGCAUAUUUGGUGUGGGUCAUUCAGUUGAUCCGUGCCGGAGCUAACGCGUUAAAUAUGCCGCCUGGGGAGUACAGUCGCAAGGCUGAA